AACUUAUUCAAUCACUAAGUUUACCUACAAAAGUGACCCACUUUUACGAUUCAUUAGAAUCUUAUUAAUGUUUUCUCUUCAUUGAUUCUAGGUGCUAGGAGUUAUGAUCCAUCACAAAGCCCAACUAUGUGUCACAUUUCAACCUAGAUCAUAUCGUCCUUAGAACUCUUUAAAACAUCGAAUUCUUUAUCCAAAAAUUUUCCAUUUAUAGAUAUUCCCUUGGUCAAAGCUAUGGAGUGGUAUUUUAGAAACCUUCGAAAAAACUCUUGCACUUAGAAUUUUGAAAAUUUCUUGAAGAUAGGAGAGCUCCCAUUUACGAAGAAUUUACCCUCUUGAUCUCCUCUUAACUAGAUCUAUCUCCGCCACAAACAAGCUUAGACUUCAAGAUCCAUUCAUCCCAGAAGCAAGACCCCCCCUCCCCC
This 422-nucleotide long non-coding RNA is filed under the name Phoenix dactylifera (date palm). RNAcentral describes it as "long non-coding RNA (PDAC_LNC000191)". Lineage: Eukaryota; Viridiplantae; Streptophyta; Magnoliopsida; Arecales; Arecaceae. The record is from RNAcentral.